GUUUUUCAAAGACAAUGAAAAGAGCUUCAUCAAGACCUCAUCAACUGAAAGAGCAGCUCCUUCAGGCCAUCGAUGCUCAAAAUAGUAUACAGAACCCGAUGGCUCUAUUGGAUGUGAUAUGCUGCCUGGAAAAAUACCCCAUGACUAAAGAGGCUCUAGUGGAAACCAGGCUUGGAAAGUUGAUCAAUGAUGUGAGAAAAAGGAGCACAGAUGAAGAUUUUGUUAAACGUUUAAAAAACCUU
Long non-coding RNA from Sinocyclocheilus grahami, 242 nucleotides. RefSeq lists it as uncharacterized. The record is from RefSeq and is a predicted model, not a curated record. The transcript has 3 exons. Lineage: Eukaryota; Metazoa; Chordata; Actinopteri; Cypriniformes; Cyprinidae.